UGGAAAUUAAGGCAACUGAAGAAUGUUUUGGAUCAGAGGUUUCCCCACUAAUCAGUCUCCUCUGAUGAGCAUGCGCAUUUUAGCUAUACUACUUGGCAUGAUUUUACUAUUGUGAAGGGUUUUGGAGAAUAAUCUCAAGGCAAUUUAUUUCUUUCCAUUGGGCUAAUCCCUUCUUCAGAGCCCAGCUCAUUUUCAACGCUGCUGCGUUGCGUUGCUGUCUUCCCCCUCCCCUUCAGUGCGACAGCCUCAGAGCUGCUGAAAAGACAGAAAGUAUGCAACUGGAUAAAUUCGGAAAUGUGGAAUUCAUGGAUCAAAUGGUACUUGCAGAGUUAAAGCUGUCUGGAUUCAGUUCCUGGAAUUUUCUAGAAUGGUAUAACAGGAAAAUAUUUUAAGGGAGACUUGCCUGGAAAAAGACUUGUGCCAGCAGUGUACAACUCACUCUUUUAUGCCCACACGGAUCACCUCCAGGCCCAGACUUGCACACAAACUUGCCCUAAACCACACAAGCACACCUCAAGGCAUAGUCAUAACCACCACAGCAAGAGACUUGCCCCUCAGCACAGGGUCACUUCCCACAUCACUAGAUUCUCCCAAUGAUGCUCACAGGUUCACCUUAACACGGAGACCCAUCUGAGGGACACCGAACAGGGGCCACAGGACAGAAACUUGCCCUGCAGAGACAAUCCCAACCUCACAGACUGUCUUCAUAUCAAUCAGACUCCUCCUAGGAUGCACAGACACACAAACUUAUGACAGGGAACAGGGAUUCUCUCACAGCCUGCAGAUAGUCCCCGUAGCACAGAACACAGACUGGACUGUCCACAGCAUGGACUCUCACUCUAGCACAUGCGUCUCUCCACAAUGCAGACUUUCCCUUCAGAGCACAGACCCAUGACAUAGCUCGAAGACCCAUGCCUCGACCCUAAGACUCCUGCGACAGACCGACUCACCCCAGGGCACAGGACACUGACUGUCCCAGCAGGACACUGACUCACUCGGGCUACACAGCCAGAUUUACCCCACGAAACAGGACUGAACCCACAGUCCAGACAGUUCCCAUAGCACUCAGUCAAAUUUAUCCACCACACAGAGUUCCAGCUUUGUGGUGUGCAGCAGAUACAUAACACGGCAAUGCACAGGCUUGGAUCACAACACACCAGUUGCCCUUCAGUGGACCAGUGCAUUUCAUAACAAACACAGUGAGCACACUGUGGAAACACUUUACGGCCAUUCUCGUCCUACAACAUCUGGCCUCCCCUCAGGCUCACCCUCACCACACACCCCAUGGCCCGCUGUCACCAGAACACACCCCGGAUUCCGCAGACACACGGUCAUACAUGGGCAUACGUCACAGUGCACACGUGACGCUGCAGCACACAGGCGGGCACUACAAUGGACAAACUUGUUCCACAACACACAUGGGUGCUGCAGGAGCACCUCACAAUGCACUUUUCCCUCAGUCACCCCACACCAUCUAUGCAGCCCCCAACAUGGAAACAUCCUGCAGCGCGACACUCCAGCCCCACGGUGCUCACAGUGAUGGUGUGGCACGGACUUGCCAUCCAGCAUCAUUUCCUCAAACCCACACUGCUUACAGUGAGUGGCUACACAGUGUGGACACGUGCUCUAAAACACCUAAAACCAGUUGUCAAGUGUUGCUUUGGAUUUACCAGAAGCACCGAGACUGGUUACACUGCUCACACUGCUGCUCAUAGUGUAAGCUGUGUGCAGAACUGCACCAAAAUGCAGCUUCUCCCAUCAAUACACUGACUCUUCUCACAACUCACAUAUACACUGCUGCACACUAAGACUCACCACCCUAUGUGCUCAGGACACGGACUUACCCCACAACACUUGGACUUGCCUUAAAGUCACACCCACAAUAUUAGACAUGCCUUAAAAUUCACAGCAUGCCUGUAAAUAGAGAUUUAUUCCACAAUGAACAGGAUUGCAUCACAACACACACCUUAGUCUGGAGCACAAAACCUACAGUGUACAUGAACAUUUCCCACUGCGUAGACUCACAGCACACAUAUUACCCUCCUUCGCAAAGAUUUCUAUUUGAGUGGACAGUCAUGCUUUACGAUACUGUUGAGCUACAACUCUGGCAUUCAACAGAGAUACAGCUUUUGCAAUGGUUAAGAGCAAGGCCUCUGGACCCAGAACACCUGGGUUUGAAUCCAGAUCCCAUCCCUUGCUAAAUGUAUCACCAUGGAUUUGCCUCAGAAGUCAGCCUUGCUCCAGAGAACUACAGAAAUGCCUCGCAAUGCCUUCAGUGAACCUACAAUAAAAAGACUCAACUCCACCAUGCCCAGACUCACCUCCUCACACCAACAGAUGACCUAUAACCCAGAGAAUCUGAAAAGAGGACCCACAUGCUCACACAAACUUGGAGGAUCUGGAAGAUGUGGAAAGAACACGGACUAGAAGGGGAGGAAGAGCGCUUCGCGCCCGCUGCACAUUGCCAUCUAGUGACCAUACUGAAUGGUGGUGUUGGUAGUCCUGACCUCAGCCUGGUAGCCUGACCUUGAACCCAGAGUUCCAGGUUCCCUUCACAACUUCAAGUGAUUGUUGGGCAGCAUUUGAGUGUACACAUUCUGCACCCUUGAGGAAUUUGGAACUACGCGCAAGUUCAAGCCCUGUUUAUUUAUCUUGUGAAUUUAUCACUUGCUUAUUCAGUAUUACAUGUUAAUAUUGUAAACUGCACGCUGAUGUGAAACUUGCAUUGUAAAUUUGCAUAAAUUGGGUAAGAAUUGCCUUAAAGCAAAAGAAAAAGAAAGUAGAUGCUAGAGAAAAAAGACGAGUGAAGAGGGUGAGAAAGGUAAUGUUGAUAGCAAAUAAAAUGAGAAGUUUGAAAUGCAUGGUAAUAGUGAAAAAAACCCAAGACCUCUAAAGGACAUUUUUUGGCAUUAAUGAAUGCCCAAUGUGUACAAAAAAGAAAAAUGAGAAGUCAGUUAGGGCCGGUGCACUGAGUGAUACAUCAGAAUUUCUAGGAAAAUUAUACAUAAUUUGAAAUGCUAAAGUAGAGACAAUGGAAAUAGAUUUACAUUUGUGGAAACUUUCCCUAUGUAUUAUCCACCAGUGAGCGUCACAAAAAUGCGAGUUCAACUUUCUAUCUGGAAGAAAACUUAUAACACGCAUGGCUGGCAGAGAAAGCGGAUCAUGAAGCUGCUGUAGAAUGUCCUGAGUAAUAGAGGAGCCCUGUUGAAGAAAUGGUUUUCCUAAACAUGUUUUCAAUGCUCAGGAAAUGUUCUGUCCUGGAAGUGCACACCAACUUGCACAUCCAUUGUGAAGGGUGAGCAAAGGGCCAGAUAUCUGAAGCCUGAAAAGAAAAGCUCAAAGGACUGCUUCAUUCCAUUGUUGCCGGUCACUUCCUUAUUAAUUUCAGGUUGCUCACAAAUUCCGAUGUCCUUACCUCUGAAUGCCAGGAACAUGUUUCCAUCUCCAUGGAUGGAUACCAUAAAAUCUGGACCACUGAGAAAGUAUUUUUCAACUGGAUUUUGAAGCAUUUUAUUCCUAAUGCUAAACAAUAUUUAAACAAAACAAAUUCUUAAAAGUGUUCCUGAAUCGGGACACUACUCCCACUGAUGAAAGUGUGAGAGUAAAUAUGAUCCUUGUGUUCUAGUCAUCUCCUUUCCCCCUAGUACAAGUUCACUCCUUAAAUCCCUGCCUCUGAGAGUGCUAAAAAUGUUCACUGUGUACUACACUCUGAUAGUAGCUUGGCAAAAUUUCUCCAUUUAUAAUGACUUCACAAUAGUUGAAGAAUCCAUGAGAGAAAAGUCAGUCAACCCUAAAUGGAACCUGGCAGAAACUCUGGAAUGAGGUGAUAGCUGAUUUUCAAGGUCUGUUUCCAGUAGUAGAAGAAAUUGAAAAUUUUGUAACAUCCUCAAAACACUUAGUUGGUUGAGAGUUUGAUGAGCUUAAGUGACAUUGCUGAACUGUUAGACUCUCACACGGUGAAAAUAGUUGAGAAAUGUUUCAGAAGUGUAAUCACAUAAAAUGUUGAUAAAAGAGGCCACAGUAGGUUAACAUCCAGAGUUCAAAGCAAAUCAAAUUGUCGUGAUGAGUCAGAAGAAAGAGUUCCUUUGGUAGAAUAUAUAUUGACCUUCAGGCAAGGCUUAAAUGAUUAUCCAUGAGUAUAAAGAAGUAAUAAAUCUUCAAGCAGAGGUCAGUAAGUCUUUUCUCUCUGCUUAUUUAACAGGGGAGAAGGAUCUAUCUUCCAUGCCAUCCAAACCUGUAGUUCAAACAACGCUGCACACAUAGUUGAACCUUGGGAUUCAGACUCACGUGGCUCUAACAAUGUGCUGAUCCAUGUGCUGGGGGAUGAAAGUGAAGCAGAAGACUGAUCUUACUUCUCUGCAAACAAAACCUGAUCUUCUCUCUUCUCUCCCUAUCACUGCCAUCAUAACUACCAUUUUCAUUUGUACAUUAUCAUCCUAACCUUUAGAUCAGGGAGAAAUAGAAGUCUGUUGCCCGCUAAUCAUUAUGGCUAAUGUAAAAUUUGUAAGACAUCAUUGAGAUUCACGUUAGCGCUUUAUUUCAGUGAACAGGAGGCCAAUUCUGUGGGCUUUUACAAUACUUCCUUUUCUGCCCCAUGUUUUCCUUAAAAGGUUUUAAAGUCCUCCAACAUACAUGCUACGAAUGUUUCGGGAACUCAACCCUAGAAUCCAAAGAAAGGGCUACUAUACUGUAUUUGACAGUUUGCUUUUUAACUUUUGACCCUGAAGUUUAUUUUAAUUCUGAUUAAGCUUGACUAUCUUACUAGAAGGGACUAGUUUAGGGUAAGUGAACUUGUUUUACAGCAAUCAUGUAAGUUAGCUUUUGAAGACUCCUUUUGAAAGGUAGUGCAUUUAUGAUGAAUUUCUUAAUUUACAUUGGUACAGAGUCAAUAAGGAAGAGCUGCUAGAGCUCUUUGCCAUAGUUCCCCUCUGUUCUCAUUUCUGGCCCUGUGUCUGCUGAUAGACCUGCUGAUAUAUCUAAUCACUGCCGAUACUUUCUGUUCCCUGAAUUUGGUGGAGAAUUCAUUUCCAGACUGAGUUAUUUUAUCCCCUCAUUGAUCCCAUGUAUUUAUUUUAUGGACUCAAUUGUUUUACAAGUAUUAUUAUUUUAGUUUUAGAUGUAUGUAGUUUUCUAGGCAGACUUCACAGAGGGGAAAAUCACAAAGCCAGAAUUAUUCAGCAGAUACCUUAUUCUAAGAAUUCUUGGCAAACAUAAAUGAUGAACUCUCCAGUUCCUUUGACCGCUUACAUACAUUCUUACCUGAUGCUCAUUGCGAAUUCACAUGGGUAGUUAGUUAUUCCGGGGAAUAGAGAGACAGGAAGUCUGAUUAACAUUGUUGUUUCUUUUGUCUUAACUGCUACUUGGGCCAGGAUUAUAGCACUGACACCAUAAUUAUAUCUCAUAAUGAUGCGCAAGAAAACUAAGAGGAAGAAAGACAACUCUUUGGCAUGAGGUUGCCAGAAAGAGACAUUACUUAGCUUGAAAAAAUAUAAUGACAACUGAGAAUGAUGAAAUUUAUGUACAGUAAUGAAAUAAUGCUGCCUUCAAGCAAUUAUGUCAAAAAUGACACUGGAAAGUAAAUUGAAUUUGGUCUUAUAGGAUGCAUGGAAGAAAACCACUUGAGUUGAGAUUAGAAAUGAGUGAAUCCAGUAAUUUCUCCCUUAAUCUGGAGAUCUGAAUGACAGGUUGCCUAUAUCUGAAAGAGAAAUGAUCAGGAAAAAAGAAAAAAAAUGUAAAAGGCAAACAGGGCUUGCUUUGAAUAGUUAGAUUGAGACGACAGAUAACCCUCAACAGGCUCAACAGAGGCACAUAAGAGUUGAAAACCCAUGCAGGCUUCCAGGGAUCUAGUGACACCAGUGUAGCAGGUGAGGAACUUAUACUUUUCCUCUAUGCCACAGUUUUUCUCAACCCUGGCUGCAUAUCAGUCAUGAUGGGUAGCUUUGAAAAAUACAGGCUUCUGGGUCCUGCCCCCACACUGGCUGGACUACUGGUGGGCCAGCAUCUAUAUAUUUUGAAAGUUUCUCAAGCAAUUCUUUAUACAAACAGGUUUAAACCACUGCUGUAAGGCUAAAUAGAAUUAAGAUAGAAAAUGUUCGACAAAUGGCAGUAGGCCCACAAACUAGGAAACCUUGAGUGAGCUGUUCUACCACUAGUUCAAGGGAUAGUUUCAUUUAAGUCACUUCUCUCUUUCCUCAUUUGUCAAAUGAGAAAAUAGGAUCACUAGUCUCCAAGGUUCUUUCUUUGAUGCUGUUACCUUGAGAGAAAGGUGCAUCAACCUUAUUGGUUAACUUGGGGAGUACUAAAGCCUUUGAUAGGACGCAGAUAAAUAGUAAAUUAUUGCAUUGCAUUUUGUUAUUGUAAAAACGGUGCUUGUGAUUUAAGUUUUACCAUAUUUUAGUUCCUCCCAGGAAAAAGAGUUGGGCUUAGAGGUCACAAAAGAAAAGGCAAACAUAGCACCAGUUUCCUGAAAUGAAAUACAGAAAUUACUCCCAUGAAGUUUUUUUCCUGUCAUAAUGUUGUUUUUUUUCUCUCUGGGAUUGGAAAAAAUAAUGAAUAGAUGUUGUGUGUAAAACAUUUUAACAUUUUACGUGUAUUGUUUAUACAAAUCUAAUUGGAAAAGUCUGUGUGGGCAACAUUUUAAGAUUCCAUGGAUAAUCUGCUUAAUUAUGUCUAGAGGUAAAUACUUUUUAAGUUAACAAUCUUUAUUACAAUAUAAUCAGUGGUUCCGAAGGUCUCCAGAGAAUGAGCUUUCUGAAUAAUUGUAACAUUGAUUGGGAUUACUUCCUUGAAUGUUUUUUCUCUUAAUUUGAACAGAAUUAGGGAAAUCAGGGUGUUUUUGGAGGGGGGUACUGGGGGUCGAACUCAGGACCUUGCAGUUGGCAGGCAGGUGUGGCGCCAUUGAGCUAUAUUCUUGGCAGGAAAUAAAAUUUAAAUCAAAUUGCAUCAACCAGGAACUCUUAGUAUAAAAUAAUGAAGUAUGAAAUUUAUUAAAUUGGGUAUUAUAUGAUUGCAGCUUCUGUAGGAAUGCCUAUACUUUGGCAUGAUAGAUGGAAACAUUUGUCUAGGGCCUAAGUCAUUUAAAAUAAAAAUUUGGAAUAAAUCUAAUUCUUGCUAAAGACAACAUCGAGUUAAAAUAACCUAAGAAGUAUUACUAAUAAAGGUCAAUAAUGGAAUAUUUUAAUGUGGUUAAAUGUAACAAGUCAGUGGAACACAUGGGAGGAUGUGAAAGUUUGUUACAGGAUAAACGGUAGAAGUAGAAUUUAAUGACAACACUGCUGUAUAAAUAGGUAUUGUUCUUUAUGUUUAGAAUACCUCCCUCCCAGCUGGAAAGUGCUGAAAAGUUUUAGUAGGUUUCACACACGGUUUGAGUGACAACUACCUUUCUUUUGUCAAAUAAUGUUGGUAAGUCCUCGAGCUAAUAUUAAGAAACACAAGGAAAUUUUCUUAUAGACGUAUUUAACCACUGUGGAAAAAGAACAAAAAAGAAAAAGGGGAGGUGAGGAGAGGGCAAACCAGUCUGCUAAAAUGUGGAAGAUAUGCUAGAACACUAACCUUACUUGUAAAAAGAUCCUUUUGGUUAAAAUAUUUUAAAGUUCAAAACACAGAGAAAGCUUUUCAAAUUGCACAUUUGGAUCACGUGGUUGCCACCACCUGAAUGUUAAUAAAGGGUUUUGACAGUGUGUGGAAUCUGAAAGUUUAUGUGAGUAAUAUUUGCAUUGUGAAAUAUAUUGACCAUUGAACUUUAUAUAGUAUUGUUACCUUUUAAUGGUGUUUGAUGUUAGUAUGUUAUGGUUGGUGAAGAGUUCAGAAAUAAAUGUCUGCUGUGAAUAACAGUGUACAGAUUUUGCCAAACCAUGAAAUCAAACAAAAUAAAGGAAGGAAUAAUACAUUUUAUUAGCAUGAAUAACAAAUAUUGAGAAAUUAAAUCUGAAUGUAGCAUAUUUGAGACACAUUGCUAAUUAGCCCAGCAUUGGAAACAUGGAGUUGAUGGCUUGGCUACUUGACAGUGGGAUGACAAAUGGCACAAUAAGAGUGACAUAAGACUUAGAGUGAGGUCUUUAACACACACUUCCUGUCUGCUCUGGGUUGAGGGCGUUCACUCUUUGGUGUUUACUGCUUAGUUCUGGCAGUACCAAGGGUUAUGAGAAUGUAAGGAAUUAGCAAGCAGCCUGAGCUAUGGAAUCAGAGAGUUCUACUUUCAAAUCUUGCCCCUGCCAAUUGCCAGCUGUGUGACUGUGGGCAUGUCUUUUCAGCAUUACAGACUUUAGUUUCUAAUCUGUAAAAUGGGGUCAAAAUACCUGCAUUACAGAGUUCCUAGAAAAUUAUAUGAGAUGCUUAGUACAGUGCCUGGCACAUAGUAAGUGCUCAAUAAAUUGCUGCUAUUAUUAUUAUUAAAACACAAAUAAACAUUGUAUAAAUAGAAGGUAAUAGUUUAUUCCUGUCUUGAUGAAAUGUUAAUAUUUAAUUUAUUAAAUUAUGCAUGAUGGUUUUUAGAGAGAAGGAAUAAGAAAUAAAUGUUACUAUUUUUCUUUGUUGUUGGUGAAGGAUACCUGAAACAAAAAUUUCUUUGUUGUUAAAUUACUCCUUGGCCUGAAGUGAUCAUUCAUAUUUUAUUUAUGAUGUGGUUAUAUAUCAUGUGCAUGAUAUUUAUAUGGUGAUUAGAGGCAAUGACUUUUAAUAUGAAUGCACUCUUACUAUCUAGAAAAUAAUCCAUCCACAAAUAUGAUUCCUCAUAAGUGGCAUCUGAAAUUCUUUAUAUUUCUCAUAUUUAUGAUGGCAUUUGAGUAUCUAAAAGUAGCGGUAUUUAGAGUUCUGAGUAUUCAUCGUGACUUCUAUGCUGUGUCUGCUGAGCAAGAGAGCGGUCACUGUCUUCAUUCAAGCCCUCACUACCACUUACCAGUAUCGCUUUAGUGACCUCACAUUCAAACUCUUUAAGUAUGUUAGCUUUUAGUAUUUGGUUUAUAUAUAUAUAUGAAUAUAUAUUAUAUAUGUAUAUAUAUGAUUAGUCUUUGUCAUUCAAGACUUUGCUGCUUGACUGACUUUUUCUGUGCACAAUUCUCAUUCAGAUACUCCCUUCUUCAAAAACCUUCAAUGACUGCCGAUCAUCUAUAUAUUCCACUGCUUGAUCUUUAAAUCAUGGCCCAAUCCCAGUGUACCUUACCAGUUUUGUUACCCGUGUCCUUUCUCAUGUACUGUAUUUGAUAGUUCUCUGACUUCCUUAGCCUUAUGUAAGUAAUAAGGGCCCUUUUAGCCUGUAGGUCAACUCUGAUCCCUUAAACUUGUCACUUACACUUUGAUAGGUAAGAUGAGAAAUUCUGUGUAUUACCUGAAGCCAAGAUGCUUCAGAUAUACCUAACUAGUUAUAAUCUCUUUCUUGUUCCCUUCCAAAUAUGCCCAAUCAGGGAGGGAGUCUUCUCUCAUUUCAUUCUUAAGCCUCCAGCCUAUUAAAUUAGGAUAUCUUUACAGACUCUUAUCCCUCUUAGUUGAGCCUCUGAGUGCAACCUAUUGAAUUUUGGGUCUGAAUAUAAAGUUUCUUGUAUGAGCACCUGAAAUAAUUGCCUGGAAAUCUAAAUUCCAUUCUUAAGAUUCUUGCCGGCCUCAUUUCCUCAUCAUCAUAUCACAUGAAAUGCUCUCUGUUCUCCUGCAUAUGAAUGCUACCCUGGAAUUUACUUAAGUUUACCAUACUCUAGAUUUGGCAGCUAGACCACAGCUUGUUGAAUGAAGUGCCACAGGCCAAAUCUAAUCCAAUUGUUAUUUUUUAAAUAAAGUUGUAUUGCAACACAUUUAUCUCCAAUCAUUUAUUAUUUGUGGCUGUAUGAAAAUAGCAGAGAUGAGUAGUUGCAACAGACACUAUAUAGCUUUCAAAGCCUUAAACAUUUACUAUGUUAUCCUUUACAGAAAAUAUUUGCUGAACCCUCAUAUAAAGCCAAAUAGUUUCCCCAACCUAUAUACUGUUUAUUUCUUGUCAACCCAUAAAUGCCCAGAAGGCUAGUUCAUUGAGACUACGAGGUUCUAAACCAAAUUACUUGUUUUUACUUGAACUUCCCUGCUUCCUCUUUCUAAUUUUCUUAAAAUGACCUUCCUGUGUUUUGCUUUUUUAGUAGAAGAGAUGCUAUAGUCAUAACAAUAGUCUCAUGUCUCUCAUGUCUGUCUUUUAAUGUAACAACUAGAUCUUUUUUUUUUUUUUUUGGUACCAGGGAUCGAACUCGGGUCCUUGCGCUUGUGGGGCAAGCAGCAGAACCACUGAGCUAAAUCCCCAGCCCUACAUCUAGAUCUCAAUAUACAAGCCUUUCAAUAUUACUAACAUCUCUACUCAUGGACAUUAAAUAUCUCUAAGAUUAGGUCUUUCCAUUCUUCAGUGUCUUCAACUCAGGUCUUCUGAGCUUCACCACUUUAAAACAUUUGUAAUCGCCAGAUCUUUCCCAUAUUAUAACAUCCACAUCUUCCAGGCUCUGGCCUGCAGCAUCCCCAAAGUCCAUGUUUCCUAAUCUUCUAGGUUUUCCAAUGUCUCCAUUAGUUUUCAAGGCCUAGGUUUUGUCUUUCAAGGUUCAGAGUUCCAACUUGCAAAUCUUCUACAGUUACAAUUCUUCAAUAUUUCUUAUACACGGGUCUUGUAAAGUCUAUGUAUUUCAUAGUAUCCAAGUCUAGUUUGUAAAGUAUCUUAUAGCACCCAUAUAAUUCAUUUCCCCUAUAUUUUAAUGUCUCCUGCAUCCUGGUUUUACAGUGCCUUUUUAAAAAUUAUCAGUUAAAGUAUUUCAAUAUCUCUAAAUACUUGUCCUUCCAACAUUCAUGUGUUCAAAUAUCGCCAGUGUCUGAAAUGCCUAAGUCUCUUAACAUCCAGCUAUUUUAAUAGCUAGAUCUCCUAAUAUCCAUAGGUGCCAAAUUCCUUGAUUCCCAGCAUCAUUAAAACGUACUUACUCUAAAUUCUGUUUUUUGACAGGAAUAUAUCAAUAUUCAAGUUUUCUAGUUGGUACCUCCUAAUAUUUAGGGCUUCUGAUUUUAUGAAUUGUAAAUGUCGGGAUCUUCUAUUUUCCAUACCCACCAGUUCUCAGGGGCCCCAAGGUACAGAACUUGCAAUGCCUCUAGUAUCCAGGGCUUCCAGUGUCUAUGGCUUCAUGUACUCAAUAUCCCAGUGUUCAGAGUAUCCAAAGUCUGCAAUGUUCAGAGUAACUAACCAAUGUCUCCAAAAUACAAGACUUGCAAUGUCUCCAACAUCCUGUGCUUCCAAUGUUUCCAAUGUCUAGGGUUUCCAGUGGCUUCAGUGUCAAGGUCUUCCAGCAACUCACAGUCUUCCAACAAUCUCAAGGUCUUCCAGACAAUCUCGGUCUUCCAGAAAAUCCAUGUCUUCCGGAAAAUUAAUGUCUUCCACAAUCCUGCAUGUCUUCCAGCAAAUCUCGUCUUCCGCAAGCAAAUCCAGAUCUUCCAGGAAAAUCCAGAUCUUCCAGAAAAAUCCAUGUCUUCCAACAAUUUCAACGUCUUCCUAUGAGUCUGUGUCUUCCAGGAAAAUCUGUGUCUUCCACCAAAUCCAAGUCUUCCAAUGAAUUCAGGUCUUCCAGAAAAAUCCAGGUCUUCCAGCAAACUAUGUCUUCCACCAAAUCAAGUCUUCCAGUCAACUCCUGUCUUCCAGACAAAAUCUGUGUCUUCCACUAAAUCCAGCUCUUCCAGUAAAGCCAUGUCUUCCAGAAAAUUCAUGUCUUCCAGUAAUCUCCAGUUCUUCCAGCCAAUGUAUGUCUUCCUGAAGAUUCAAGUCUUCCAGAAAAUCCACGUCUUCCAGAAAAUUCAUGUCUUCCAUAAAACAUCCAGUCUUCCAGCAAACCAAUAUCUUCCAAAAAAUCCAGGUCUUCCAGACAAUUCAGGUCUUCCAGAAAAUCCACGUCUUCCAGAAAAUCCACGUCUUCCAAAAAAGCUAUGUCUUCCAUCAAACCCAUAGCUUCAAAAAAAUCUAUGUCUUCCAGAAAAUCCAAGUCUUCCAACAAAUUCAUGUCUUCCAUCAGUUUUAUGUCUUUCAGCCUUCCUAUGUCUUCCAACAAAGCUACGUCUUCCAGAAAAUCCAUGUCUUCCAACAAAGUCACGUCUUCCAACAAAGCCGUGUCCUCCGGAAAACCUGUCUUCCAGUGAAGCCAUGUCUUCCAUCAACUCCAUGUCUUCCUACAUCUCCAGGGCUUCCAGCAUCUCCAGGGCUUCCAGCAUCUGCUCGUCUUCCACCAUCUCCACAUCUUCCAGCAUCUUCAGGUCUUCCUACAGCUACCCAGUCUUCCAUCAGCAGGUUUAAUAUCCACGUCUUCCAACAUCUCCGCUGCACCAGCCUUCUAAUAUCCAGGUCUUCCACUGUCUGCAAUAUCCAGGUAUUCUAACUUAUUCUAUAGUCCAGGUCUUAAACCCUUUCCCCAGAUCAAGGCUUUUCCAAAUCUAGUCCUCCUCUGUCCAAGCUUUCCCAUGUUCAAAACUUUCCACAGGGAGAUUGCCAACUCAGGUAUUCCUGCUUCUAGUAUAAUUAGCUUUAAAAAUUCAAUAGGAUAUUCCUACUUACAGGCCAGAUUUUAUGGGCAAGCUGUAAUUUAACUGUGGUUUUGAUAUUAGAAAAUGUGUGUUUAUUCUUUGCAACUUUUUAAAAUAGUGUUCAUAGGAAGUUUUACAGAAUAAACAGGUUACUGGAGUAAAUUUUAAAACUUUUUAAUGCUCAUAGAUUUUAGAAUCAACUAUGCUUAGGUGUAAGUGAAAUUUUAUUGUUAUGAGAAAAAUUCAUAUUUGGAGACUUAUUUUAGAUAAAAUUAACAUAUAGUGUAUCUGUCCACUUUUAAAUAACAUCAUUUUUACUUGAUUUUAUGUGUAAUAAUAACAAUAAUAAUAAUAAUAAUAAUAAUAAAUAGCAAUUGCUGUGUCCGGGCACUGUUCUAAGGUCCUUACAUACAUGAACUCAUUCUGUCUUUGUAGUCUCCCAUUAAAGUAGGUAUUGUCAUUAUCCCCAUUUUGCAGAUGAGGAAAUUGACACACAGAGUUGAAGUAAUGUGUCCAAAAGACAUAACUAAUAAGUAACAGAGUUGGAAUUUGAACCCCACUAGCCUGUUUCCAGAGUCCAUGAUCUUAAUCACUAUGUUAUGAUACAUGUUAUUGAAAAUCAAGAUGAAAAUUUUGAGAUCUGAAGCUUGAUUGGUCCCAAAUUGUGUUUCAAAUAUAAAAUCACAUACACAAAUGAUCUUGUUUAUCCUGUCACUACUGGAAACUAUUCAUAUUCAAAGCUUUCAUUCCUCGACCAGCUAUUGCAAUUCCUUUGCUCAUGUAUAUGAAAGUAGACGCUAUUGCUUCCUGAUACCACAUUUAGCUUGGACAAGAACACUGAGUUCAUACACCCUUUGCUUUAGAAUCAUAUUCACAGCUCUUUGCUUUGAGUACUGGUGCUUGGAAUUUAACUUUUCCAUCCAUUCUAAUCUUUUAUCACUGACUAUUCUCCAAUUUGAAACUUAUUGUCCAAACCAUUUAUCAUUAGUUUGCUUUUGACCUCCAGGAUCCAACUGCUUCUUCACGUAUCAGUGACUUCCUUGGGUUACUCACCACUGCUUUGUGUUCACCUAAUGGUAGCUACAUCUCCUUAAAUUCCAGCAUGUUGAUCUAGAGAACUAACUAAUUGCUUGGUUCUUUAAGUCUCAGCUCUCACCAGGCACUUCCAGCAAUGUACCCGUGCUUCUGCCUGGUAUGAACAACAUUAAAUCCACACAAUGAAGUUAUCCUUAGGCAAGGAAUCUCUAAAAGUCUGGAGUCAUCUAAGAGGUAAUAAAAAGGAACAAGAACAAUAAUAAUUAGAAUAACAAUUCCUUCUGAAUUGCAGCUUACAAAGUGCCAUCACUUCAUUUAUCCAUCCUUCCGUUCAACAAAUAUUUCUUGAGUGCCAACUGUGUGACAGGCAUGUUUUAGAGGAGCUUAAAAUCAGCUGGAGAGCAUACAUACCAUAUGCAAAUAAUUGAACAAUUAUUCAUUAAUUGUGGUAAGGACAUUAAGGAAAAGUAAAUAAAGAAUCUAUGAGAAUUUAGAAAGUCAAGGAAAGCAUUCUUGAGGAAGAAUGGUGACUCUGAAGGAUGUAGUUUCUCAUUUGUUUAUUAAAACAGGCUUGUGACUUAGAUACUACAGAUUUUUUUCUGUGAGUUUUACCGAAUUAGAAUAAUGACAAUGAGUAUGAGAUCCAGGUGUUUGGACUUUUUUUUCUAAUUCUAUCUAAAUCAAAGAAUAUAAAAAUGUUUAUACUCUUUAACUUAGUAUUUUCACUUCAAGGAACCUAUCCAAGGAAACUAUUUAAAAUGUGGAUAAUUUAUGCACAAAGAUGUUCCUCACAUACUUAUUUGGUGUAGCAAAUAAUAGAAAAACCCAAGUCUAGCUUUAAGCAAAUGAUUAAGUAAAUGUGCUAUUCAUGUAUGAUGUAAUAUUAUUCCAUUAAAAUAUUUAUGGUAUGCUCCUUAUACAAUGUUCAGUGAAAAAUCCACAUACAAGAUGAUAUAAAAUAUGGUUUCAACUAUUUUAAAAUACAUAACCAGGGACUAGAAGUAAACAGACUGGAGAUUGUGAACCUAUGACUGGCUGAGCAAGAUUAUGUGUGAUUUUGUUUUCUUCUUUAUAUUCUUAGUAUUUUUACCCAAUGUUCUUACAAUGUAAAGGUAUUUUCUAGUCAGACAAAAUCUAUCAAUACUUGUGCACCAAUUAAUCAUUUAUCUUUAUAUUGUACAUGCAAUCAAUUUUUAUUAUUGAAAUCCCUUCAAAAUAUAAACAGUGAAAAAAAUUAAAUUUUCAAAUAAUCUCAAUGCCCAGAAAUAAUCAUUGUAAAGACUUUGGCACUUGUUUAAGACUUUUGCAUAGGUAUGUUUAUUUUCUUUUACAAAAUGGAAGCCUU
Long non-coding RNA from Heterocephalus glaber (naked mole-rat), 14878 nucleotides. Lineage: Eukaryota; Metazoa; Chordata; Mammalia; Rodentia; Bathyergidae. The record is from Ensembl.